UACGUAGGGGGCGAGCGUUGUUCGGAAUUACUGGGCGUAAAGGGAGCGUAGGCGGGUCAGUAAGUUAGGAGUUUAAUGCACAGGCUUAACCUGUGACUUGCUCUUAAUACUGCUAAUCUUGAGUAUGGAAGAGGGAGAUGGAAUUCCAGGUGUAGCGGUGGAAUGCGUAGAUAUCUGGAAGAACACCAUUAGCGAAGGCGGUCUCCUGGUCCAAUACUGACGCUGAGGCUCGAAAGCUAGGGGAGCAAACAGG
This 253-nucleotide ribosomal RNA is filed under the name uncultured bacterium. Its description in RNAcentral is "partial 16S ribosomal RNA". It matches the Rfam family "Bacterial small subunit ribosomal RNA", at positions 524 to 776 of the family's 1533-position model. The record is from RNAcentral.